UUGAAAACCUUAGAACAGGGGUGGCCAACCUGUGGCUCCAGAGCCACAUGAGGCUCUUCGGAAGUUAAUAUUCAGCUCCUUGUAUAGACACCAACUUUGAGGCUGGAGCUACAGGCACCAACUUUCCAAUGUGCU
Chelonoidis abingdonii (Abingdon island giant tortoise) is the source of this 135-nucleotide non-coding RNA. The record is from RefSeq and is a predicted model, not a curated record. Lineage: Eukaryota; Metazoa; Chordata; Testudines; Testudinidae.